UCCAGACUCCUACGGGAGGCAGCAGUGGGGGAUAUUGCACAAUGGGGGGAACCCUGAUGCAGCGACGCCGCGUGGGUGAAGGAGCGUUUCGGCGCGUAAAGCCCUCUCGGCAGGGAAGAAGGAGGACGGUACCUGACUAAGAAGCCCCGGCUAACUACGUGCCAGCAGCCGCGGUAAUACGUAGGGGGCAAGCGUUAUCCGGAUUUACUGGGUGUAAAGGGGGCGCAGACGGCAGCGCAAGCCAGGAGUGAAAGCCCGGGGCCCAACCCCGGGACUGCUCUUGGAACUGCGCGGCUGGAGUGCAGGAGGGGCAGGCGGAAUUCCUGGUGUAGCGGUGAAAUGCGUAGAUAUUAGGAGGAACACCAGUGGCGAAGGCGGCCUGCUGGACGAUGACUGACGUUGAGGCUCGAAAGCGUGGGGAGCAAACAGGAUUAGAUACCCGCGUAAA
RNAcentral lists this ribosomal RNA (448 nucleotides) under uncultured bacterium. RNAcentral describes it as "bacterial SSU rRNA". It matches the Rfam family "Bacterial small subunit ribosomal RNA", at positions 330 to 794 of the family's 1533-position model. The record is from RNAcentral.